RNAcentral lists this ribosomal RNA (485 nucleotides) under uncultured bacterium. RNAcentral's name for it is "bacterial SSU rRNA". It matches the Rfam family "Bacterial small subunit ribosomal RNA", at positions 327 to 804 of the family's 1533-position model. The record is from RNAcentral.
CGCCUUAUACUCCUACGGUAGGCAGCAGUGGGGAAUUCUGGACAAUGGGGGCAACACUGAUCCAGCAACGCCGCGUGAGUGAAGAAGGCCUUCGGGUUGUAAAGCUCUUUUGUCAGGUAAGAAACGGUAGUAGCUAAUAUCUAUUACUAAUGACGGUACCUGAAGUAUAAGCACCGGCUAACUACGUGCCAGCAGCCGCGGUAAUACGUAGGGUGCAAGCGUUAAUCGGAAUUACUGGGCGUAGAGCGUGCGCAGGCGGUUGUGUAAGUCAGAUGUGAAAUCCCCGGGCUCAACCUGGGAAUUGCAUUUGAGACUGCACGGCUAGAGUGUGUCCGAGGUGGGUAGAAUUCCUCGUGUAGCAGUGAAAUGCGUAGAUAUGUGGAGGAAUACAGAUGGCGUAGGCAGCCCCCUGGGAUAACACUGACGCUCAUGCACGAAAGCGUGGGGAGCAAACAGGAUUAUAUACCCGAGUAGUCCACGUACCA